Molecule: ribosomal RNA, 274 nt
Filed under: uncultured bacterium
Lineage: Bacteria
Description: partial 16S ribosomal RNA
Rfam family: Bacterial small subunit ribosomal RNA
Source: RNAcentral
AUACGGAGGGUGCGAGCGUUGUUCGGAAUUAUUGGGCGUAAAGAGCAUGUAGGCGGUCUGUUAAGUCUGGUGUGAAAGCCCGGGGCUCAACCCCGGAAGUGCAUUGGAUACUGGCAGACUUGAGUAUGGGAGAGGAAAGCGGAAUUCCGAGUGUAGGAGUGAAAUCCGUAGAUAUUCGGAGGAACACCAGUGGCGAAGGCGGCUUUCUGGACCAAUACUGACGCUGAGAUGCGAAAGCGUAGGGAGCAAACAGGAUUAGAAACCCCUGUAGUCC